CCAGCCUGCUCCCCUGAAAUGCAUUUGUGAUCGUGUUGCCCUUGUGAGUUGGCCCGACCAGGCGUGAUAGUAAUAACGUUCGCCUGGGAUCCUCUGGUUAAUACCUAGGAGCCGCUCCUGUUGGGUGCUUUUCCGAUCAUAUACACUUAUACAUCUUUGGUUUAGACCUCAGAUCAGGCAGGACUACCCGCUGAACUUAA
Molecule: unclassified non-coding RNA, 200 nt
Filed under: soil metagenome
Description: partial contains internal transcribed spacer 2 and large subunit ribosomal RNA
Source: RNAcentral